CAGUCGCCACGGGAAUACGUAGGGUGCGAGCGUUAAUCGGAAUUACUGGGCGUAAAGCGUGCGCAGGCGGUUCGUUAAGACAGAUGUGAAAUCCCCGGGCUUAACCUGGGAACUGCAUUUGUGACUGGCGAGCUAGAGUAUGGCAGAGGGGGGUAGAAUUCCACGUGUAGCAGUGAAAUGCGUAGAGAUGUGGAGGAAUACCGAUGGCGAAGGCAGCCCCCUGGGCCAAUACUGACGCUCAUGCACGAAAGCGUGGGGAGCAAACAGGAUUAGAUACCCGAGUAGUCCCUGUCUCUUAUAC
RNAcentral lists this ribosomal RNA (301 nucleotides) under uncultured bacterium. RNAcentral's name for it is "partial 16S ribosomal RNA". It matches the Rfam family "Bacterial small subunit ribosomal RNA", at positions 509 to 807 of the family's 1533-position model. The record is from RNAcentral.